RNAcentral lists this ribosomal RNA (2831 nucleotides) under Brassica rapa (field mustard). RNAcentral describes it as "eukaryotic LSU rRNA". The stretch from base 1108 to 2831 matches the Rfam family "Eukaryotic large subunit ribosomal RNA", at positions 1 to 2942 of the family's 3401-position model. Lineage: Eukaryota; Viridiplantae; Streptophyta; Magnoliopsida; Brassicales; Brassicaceae. The record is from RNAcentral.
GCAAGGCCGAUUGUGUGGUGGUUAGGUUUCCGGUGAUCUGAUCGUUUGUGAAGCAACCUCCGAUCAAGUAUAGGAGACCGAUAGCAGGAGAAGAGCGUGAAGAGCCCUGACACGGUUCAGAAGGUACGUGGCGGGCUAUGGCCCCAUCAGACCGAACGGACUGUCCUUAUGGCCGCACUGCGGCUCUGGUCUUUCCGUUAGACCUAACCGCUUCACAUCUUCUUGUUUUUAUCCGGACCUUUCUCUUCUUUCUGAUUAUGUACGAAGGGUUGUGUUGGUUCAGUCCAAGGGACACGUCCCUAGACUUGGCCGGUCAUAACCAAACCGCUAACCUAGACACUGGUCGGUUAGACGGUUGGUUCGAAUCGCACCAUGUACUGGGCAGUUGGGCUAAACGGUUGGCCAUGUCCCAAAAGGCACGAGUUGCCAAAGGUCACGAGUUACCAAGGUUGUGAGUUUCCAAGGGUCACGAGUUACCAAAGGUUGUGAGUUGCCAAAGGGUGUAAGUAACCAAGGGUUACGAACAUCAAGAGGUACGAGAACCAAGAGGUAUGGGGACCAAGAGGUACGAGGACCAAGAGGUACCAAGGACCGAAGGGGUGCAUGUUCCAAACGGUGCCUGUUGAGACAGGUCGUGUUUGUUCCUUAGGGAUCAGUCCAUGUCUUGUCCGUUUAAGACAAGUACACGAUUCAUCUAAGCCAGGGUAGGAGUCGCAAGGUCUGGUCGGUCGCUUAUCCUACUGGAUUGGGCUUGAGGCUUACUCGGCCGUUGGAUCCAGGCCCAAGGCCGGAUCAGGUAAGGAAGUCUGUUGAUUAAGCCGGACUUCAACUAGGCCGGUCGCACCUAGAUUCCAUUCGGUUAGACGGAUUGGUCUUCGGGACCAUCCAGACUGUUCGUGUGUUUUGUUUAUCUAUUUUGGAAUGUCUAUCCGAUUCUAAGUCAAGGGGUCGUUGGGUUGAAUGACUUAGGAUACGGUAGGAAAGUUCAUAUCUUUAUUUGAUGAUGUUGAUUGAGGUUUACCUAUGUUCUAGGAACCAAGCCAAGCAUUGUAGAAUCGACCCGUCUUAUUCUUGGUUAUGAUUAAUGCUUAUCAGGUUGUGGUUUCAGGAACUUAGGAUGGUUCUGGUCAAGCCAAGGAGCCGUGAAGGCUUGGUCAGUGAAAGGCUGUGUAACGUGUGGAUAGAUGAUGCAUGGGAUGAACUAGUGAUUGUCUAUGAAACGAUUAAGAAGUUGUGUGUUGGAUCUCAUGUUUCUAAGUAAUACAUUUUUAUACACAUUUAUAUUCCGCCGUGCUAUCUGUUCAAUUGUUUUAGAACCUCAGAUUCGAACAUGACUUAGUAAAUAAAAGACUUAAAAUGAAUCAAACAAGCAAAGAAAUUGAUUAAGUAGCAAGCGGGUCUAGUUUCGUCGAGAGGCCGGAUUCGGGCGUUACAGGAAUUCCGAAAAGAAUUAUCUUUUCUGUUUAACAGCCUGCCCACCCUGGAAACGGCUCAGACGGAGGUAGGGUCCAGCGGCUGGAAGAGCUCCGCACGUCGCGUGGUGACUGGUGCAUUCCCGGCGGCCCUUGAAAAUCCUGAGGACCGAGUGCCGCUCACGCCCAGUCGUACUCAUAUCCGCAUCAGGUCUCCAAGGUGAACAGCCUCUGGUCGAUAGAACAAUGUAGGAAAGGGAAGUCGGCAACAUGGAUCCGUAACUUCGGGAAAAGGAUUGGCUCUGAGGGCUGGGCUCGGGUGUCCCAGUUCUGAACCCGUCGACUGUUGGCAGGCUGCUUAAGCCGCUAACAUGGCGAGAGCGGACUGCCUCGUGUCGGCCGGGGGACGGACUGGGAAUGGCUCUUUUGGGAUCUUUCCCAGGGCGUCGAACAGCCAACUCAGAACUGGUACGGACAAGGGCAAUCCGACUGUUUAAUUAAAACAAAGCAUUGCGAUGGUCCCUGCGGAUGCUAACGCAUUGUGAUUUCUGCCUAGUGCUCUGAAUGUCAAAGUGAAGAAAUUCAACCAAGCGCGGGUAAACGGCAGGAGUAACUAUGACUCUCUUAAGGUAGCCAAAUGCCUCGUCAUCUAAUUAGUGACACACAUGAAUGGAUUAAAGAGAUUCCCACUGUCCCUGUCUACUAUCCAGCAAAACCAAAGCCAAGGGAACGUGCUUGGCAGAAUCAGCGGGGAAAGAAGACCUUGUUGAGCUUGACUCUAGUCCGACUUUGUAAGAUGACUUGAGAGGUGUAGAAUAAGUGGGAUCUCUGGCGCAAGUGAAAUACAACUACUUUUAACGUUAUUUUAAUUACUCCGUGAAUCGGAGGCAGGGUAACAACCCCUUCUUUUAGACCCAAGACUCGCUUCGGCGGGUCAAUCAGGGCGGAGGACAUUGUCAGGUGGGGAGUUUGGCUGGGGUGGCACAUCUGUUAUAAGAUAACGCAGGUGUCCUAAGAUGAGCUCAACGAGAACAGAAAUCUCGUGUGGAACAAAAGGGUAAAUGCUCGUUUGAUUCUGAUUUUCAGUACGAAUGCGAACUGUGAAAGCGUGGCCUAUCGAUCCUUUAGACCUUUGUGGCAGCCAAGCGUUCAUAGCGACGUUGCUUUUUGAUCCUUCGAUGUCGGCUCUUCCUAUCAUUGUGAAGCAGAAUUGUUGUAGGCACGGACUGGAGGAUAGGCGCGGUCCUGUCCCGGUAUGAACGGAUGGUCUCAAAGGCCGGCUUCUCGUCUAGGGCUUCUUGGCCGCGGCUUGUACCUGAAACGAAUAAGAACUUUUUAUGAGUUUUAGAUUUAAGGUGAUCUGGAAACAAUGAACAAAAUACAGAAAUGAUUUUUAUCAGGUUUUUCUUUUAAGAUUCA